UGGAACGAGCCCUGACACAGUUGGCGAGAGCCAAUCAGACGAUCCAAGCUUUUUGCCAUCCAAUCAGCUCGAUGACACAAUUGGUCAGAGCCAAUCGGGAGCCUCGUAGGGCGGGUCAAAGACAAAUGCGAACAUCCUCCAUCUUGGAUCCUCGCUCUCAGCCUGACAGCAGCGCUAUGAGGAGGAGGUGCGGGGUCCUGAUGUCCAGCCAGGUUAUCAGUGCGUCCCAAAGCUGAUCCAGUCCCUGCUGGACUGAAGACGGAGCGUUACAUCUGUCUGGUCUGUGGACACAGCCGGGACAGAGGACAUCACUUCAGGACGCUCUGUGGAGGACUGACUGGCUGAGAAGAGGAGGCAGGAUCCAAACAGAGUUACCUCCUCCUGUUGUUGUGUGUUUCAGUCUCUCUGAUGUCUCUUUAUUAUUAAUGUCCUUCUCUGCAGAAACACAGACAGACAGACAGACAGAGAGAAAGACAGCUACUUUAUUUGACCUUCUAGGUGGUGUAUCAGCCGACUAUAGAACAAACCAUAUGUAGUUGUAUUGUUUUCUACUGUUGUUGUUUACAGAGUGAACAUCUGUAGAGGAGGAAACACACACAGCUGUGUAGAUGUGUGUAGAUGUGUGUAGAUAUGUGUAGAUGAAGCUUUACAUCUAAAUAAUGCUCCUUGUUCACUGCAGCUGAGGACAAAGACUUUAGAUACUUCAUGUGUUCAUCCUCAGCUGAUAGGAGGGAGAUGAUGUUUCACUCUCAUGGUGUCAAUAAUCAAACAGCAUGUUGUAAUCAGUCAUCACUGUCUGGACCAGCAGCAUCUGGCUCUAUCUCUGUACCAUUUUUAUAUAUAUAUAUAUAUACAUAUAUAUAUAUAUAUACACAGUAUUAUUAUUACUAUAUUGAAUGUAACCUUUGAAUGAUUUGAGGUAUUCAAUAAAAACAGGCCUUCUGUGCUGAACUGUG
This is a long non-coding RNA of Sebastes umbrosus (honeycomb rockfish), 956 nucleotides long. RefSeq lists it as uncharacterized. The transcript is spliced from 2 exons. Lineage: Eukaryota; Metazoa; Chordata; Actinopteri; Perciformes; Sebastidae. The record is from RefSeq and is a predicted model, not a curated record.